Molecule: unclassified non-coding RNA, 3079 nt
Filed under: Pectinophora gossypiella (pink bollworm)
Lineage: Eukaryota; Metazoa; Arthropoda; Insecta; Lepidoptera; Gelechiidae
Description: zinc finger and SCAN domain-containing protein 12- like
Source: RNAcentral
CGAACCCUGUUUAUUUUUGUAUUUUUGUUUAUUUUCGCGAAAAAAUGAUUAGAAUAUGUGCUUGUCAUGUGUUCCUCGUACGUAGUCGAUAAAUAUUCUCCGUAGAAGCUUCUGAAGCGUCUGAAGCUUUUAAAACUUUGUGGCUUUUAUCAAACUUAUAAGUUAGAACUUAAUUAUGGGUCCCGAAGACAGGAGCUAUAUUCUAGAAACCUACUGCGGGACAUGCCUCAGUAAGGACCGAAAACUCGUAAAUUGUUCUAAAUUAGUUAAGAAUAUGGAUAUAUACUUUGAAUCGAAAUUAAUGAAUCAUCUGAAUAAGUUCAGCCUUUGCUGGGAAUGUCAUCAGGUUUUACAGAAAGUGUACAAAUUUAAUAAACAAGCUAAGCAAGCCAUGUUAACGCUGGAUUUUUUAUUUAAGAACCGGAGUGAUGGGAAAUCAAUCCAAUUAAAGUCUCUAUCAGUUCUCCACGUGAAUACAAAAGCUGAUAAAAUAAACAUUGCUUCUCAAGUUUUUUUGGACAAUCAUGACAUUGCUGAAACUAGUAUUCCAAAAGAUGAAAAUGUAAAGGAAUCUGCUGUUAGCAAGCCUAAGGGUAAAAAGGUUAAAAGGAGGAGGAAGAGAUCUGCACCAUCAAAUGCAAAGAAAAAUUGUGAUCUCAUACUAAAACCAACUAAAGAGGAUUUGGAGAGUGAAAUACCGUGUUCUGUAUAUUACAAAAAGCCUGCUGAAGAUGAUGAUGAUGAUAAGAGUAAUAAUGAUGACAAUAUUGAUAGUAUUACACGGGAUGAUGAAAUGAUGCCCAUUGAAUUUAUAAAUUGUGAACUGGAUACGGAACUUUUAGAAUUUCCAAAACCUGAACCUGUACCCCAAUUGCCGGAGCCGCCCAAAUUAUUUCCUAAACCUGUUAAACGGGCAGACAUAAUUGAACCCGGUAGUCUGUCACCAGAAAAUGAACAUGCCAAAGUGAGAACUGACCUAAUCAAUUUAGUUGUUAGUAAAGAUAACCCGUUUAGUAUCGCCGAGACUAACAAUAUUGGUGCUGGCUUCAAAAUGUUGAAAGUUCAAAACACAGCGUUCCCUCUCAAAGUCACAUCCGGUCCUUCAAGCCACAACUUGCUCGUGAAGCCAGUUAAUGUUAUAUCAACAUCAAAGUCAGUUGUGGACAACUCUCUCGAUGUUGAGCGGGGUGAUUUGACACCUCACACAGUACAGGCUAGAACGAUAGAUUAUGUCGACAUGUUACAACUAAGAGAGAAAGAGAGACAAAAUGAUAUGUAUCAGGAAGCGACAUAUAAGUGUGAGAAAUGUUUAUUUGGAUACAAGAAUGCAAACUUCUUUAGGAUGCAUAUGAGACAACACGAUGAGGAGUACGGCUCAAUAAAGUGUGAUAUUUGUCAAUUGAGAUUUGACACUAAUGAAUUGUACGACCAGCACAAGAGAACCCAUUUCGUUUCGAAUAUCCAAGAAACAGAGAAAGAGAAGAAUAUUCUUAAGAACAAUGAUGAAGGAAAGAUAAAACAAGAUUUACUAAUGCUACGAUGUAAAUACAAACACUGUGGUAGAAUAUUUGACACCUAUAAGGACUUCAUAGACCAUGAAGCGGAAAAUCAUGAUUGGAUAAAGGAUAGAAAGCCAAAAUUCCGAUUCAAAUGUAGUGUGAAGAACUGUAAUAAGGCGUUCAGAUUCAAAAAUACACUGAAGAUACAUAUAAUGGAGGUUCACGAGAAAAAAAUAUUCCACUGCAAAAAAUGUAAUAGAACUUAUAAAUCGGGCAGCUCGUACAGAUCACAUUUGAUGACGUCGAAAAAUCAUGGGGUCACAGCAAGUUACGAAUGCGAUUACUGUGGAAAGAAAUUUAUCAUCAAAAGCUAUCUAGCUUUGCAUAUAAAUGUAGCGCAUACGAAAAUGACACAGUACCCGUGUGAUUUCUGCGAUGAGAAAUUUUACAGCUAUUAUGUAAAAAACCGCCAUAUGAAGACGAAGCAUCAUAGCACGCCAUUGAAACUUGUUGAAUGCAACAUUUGCGGGAAGACUUAUAAAUCUAAAGCGAUUUUGAGGAAACAUCAGUCUGUUCACACGGGUGAAAAGCCAUACCACUGUCCUUAUUGCGAUUGGAAGUUCACCCAAUGCUCCACGCUCAAGACGCAUUGCAAACUCAAACAUAAAGACAAACCAGUACCUGUUGUGAGGAAAACUGUCAAAACACAAAAUACCACAGAAGCAAAUAUAACAGAAAAUAAUAUAAUGGAUAUACCUAGAGACAGAUGAAGAUUCAGAAUCAAACUCCACAAGCGAUAAUUGAAACUAAUAUCAUAGAUUAAGGAUACUACGUAAAGUCCGUUCAAGAAUGAUCUUCAUAAAAGGUAAACAAAUAUGGCUGCCCAUAUUUUUUAUCUGUGUCAAACGGCAUGCUAGUGAAGUGCUGAAUUGAUUUUAGCUCAAGUUAUUUUAUCAAAAUGAACUGACUCUCUUGGGCUGUUUGAAUUUUUUUGUAUGACAAUAUUAAAAGAUAUAUUUUAUGUUUGUUUGUGGUUACACUAACUCACUUGAAAGUCAUUUUUUCUGCAAGAGUCGGCUUAUUAAGUACAGUACACUCACUUAAGUUAUUCGCGGAACUGACUCGUUUUCCUGACCCCAAUGAAAUGUCCCUUCACUAAUACGUUAAUAGUAAACCACAGAUUAACAAGAAUUUAUGAUGUCAACUUUUUUGUGAGGCUUUGUUUGAUUUUUGUUUUUACGUGAAAAAAUGUGUUUUUAUAAUUAUUUUACGUUAAUUUCGCAUUGAGCUAAGAAAUCAUACAUCUAUUGAGUGCUACGGAUGUUAUUAGAAGAAUACUUUGCGUAGUUAAGGUUAAAUUCGAACAUUCUUUGUAGUAACAGGUUUGUUUACCUUUUAUGAAGAUCAUUCUUGAACGGACUUUAUAGAACGGCAACUCACCGCUCCCCACCACACCCCUCUCGAACACAGUUUAGUCUUGAAUCGUAUGGCGCCAGACGUCACACACACAGAUGCGCGUGUACGAUAACGUCAAUGCGUGGUGUCUGUGUAAAACGAGGUUGUUUGUAUGAAGUGUCCGG